AUUGAACGCUGGCGGCAUGCCUUACACAUGCAAGUCGAACGGCAGCACGGGGGCAACCCUGGUGGCGAGUGGCGAACGGGUGAGUAAUAUAUCGGAACGUGCCCUAGAGUGGGGGAUAACUAGUCGAAAGAUUAGCUAAUACCGCAUACGAUCUACGGAUGAAAGUGGGGGAUCGCAAGACCUCGUGCUCCUGGAGCGGCCGAUAUCUGAUUAGCUAGUUGGUAGGGUAAAAGCCUACCAAGGCGACGAUCAGUAGCUGGUCUGAGAGGACGACCAGCCACCCUGGAACAUAGACACUGUCCAGACUCCUACGGGAGGCAGCAGUGGGGAAUUUUGGACAAUGGGGGCAACCCUGAUCCAGCAAUGCCGCGUGAGUGAAGAAGGCCUUCGGGUUGUAAAGCUCUUUUGUCCGGAACGAAACGCGCUGAGCUAAUACCUCGGCGUAAUGACGGUACCGGAAGAAUAAGCACCGGCUAACUACGUGCCAGCCGCCGCCGUAA
RNAcentral lists this ribosomal RNA (500 nucleotides) under uncultured bacterium. RNAcentral's name for it is "partial 16S ribosomal RNA". It matches the Rfam family "Bacterial small subunit ribosomal RNA", at positions 30 to 523 of the family's 1533-position model. The record is from RNAcentral.